RNAcentral lists this ribosomal RNA (326 nucleotides) under uncultured eukaryote. RNAcentral's name for it is "partial 18S ribosomal RNA". It matches the Rfam family "Eukaryotic small subunit ribosomal RNA", at positions 1470 to 1796 of the family's 1831-position model. The record is from RNAcentral.
CCCUUAGAUGUUCUGGGCUGCACGCGCGCUACUCUGAUGCACUCAACGAGUUUACGACCUUGCCCGAUAGGGUUGGGUAAUCUUUUUAAAAUGCAUCGUGAUGGGGAUAGAUUAUUGCAAUUAUUAAUCUUCAACGAGGAAUUCCUAGUAAGCGCGAGUCAUCAGCUCGUGCUGAUUACGUCCCUGCCCUUUGUACACACCGCCCGUCGCUCCUACCGAUUGAGUGCUCAGGUGAAUAAUUCGGACUGCAGCAAUGUUUGGAUCCCGAACGUUGCAGCGGAAAGUUUAGUGAACCUUAUCACUUAGAGGAAGGAGAAGUCGUAACA